RNAcentral lists this ribosomal RNA (774 nucleotides) under uncultured Neocallimastigales. Its description in RNAcentral is "partial large subunit ribosomal RNA". It matches the Rfam family "Eukaryotic large subunit ribosomal RNA", at positions 22 to 645 of the family's 3401-position model. Lineage: Eukaryota; Fungi; Neocallimastigomycota; Neocallimastigomycetes; Neocallimastigales. The record is from RNAcentral.
AUAUCAGUCAUGCAUAGCAUAUCAAUAAGCGGAGGAAAAGAAACUAACAAGGAUUCCCUUAGUAACGGCGAGUGAAGCGGGAAGAGCUCAAAUUUGAAAUCUUCAAGGUUUUACCUUGACGAAUUGUAGUUUAUAGAAGUGUUUUCUGUUAGUAGGAGUGGCAAAAGUUCUUUGGAAUAGGACAUCAUAGAGGGUGAGAAUCCCGUAUUUGGUCAUUCUUCUAGCGUUGUGAUACACUUUCAACGAGUCGGAUUGUUUGGGAAUGCAGUCCAAAAUGGGUGGUAAAUUUCAUCUAAAGCUAAAUAUUGGCGAGAGACCGAUAGCGAACAAGUACCGUGAGGGGAAGAUGAAAAGAACUUUGAAAAGAGAGUUAAACAGUACGUGAAAUUGUCAAAAGGGAAGCGUUUGACACCAGUGUUGUUUUUCCGAAAAUCAAUUACGAAUGUUUUAUUUUUGAGGAGUUAUGACUUCAUCGGCUUGCUCUCUUCUUUAUGAAACUUUCUUAAUGCACUUUUCGGUUAACAAGUCAACAUCAAUUUCUUUUGUUGUAAAAGGGUAAGAGGAAGGUGGCUUACGCUUCGGCGUAAGUGUUUAUAGCCUUUUACCUCUGCAAUCGGGGAGAUUGAGGACAGCAGCGUAGACUCUUCGGGGUUAGAUACGUUUGUGCUAAGUUAUAGCCUUGUAUAGACAACUUGUUGACUAUACUCAGUCAUGUAGCUUACUCGCAGAUAGUAUUUUACCUACGCUUAGGAUGUUGAUCUCUCACAGUCGAGC